UCCCUUUUGUCUUUGUGUGUAUGUGUGCCUUUUUUCUUCUUUUUUUUUGCUUUUGAAUUCAAAGACUGCCGUUUUUUGUGCGUUUCUUUUUCCAUUUUAAUGCUGAAAGCAACAACGUUAACAAGUCCAUUAGUGUAGAUUCAAUGAGCACUACUGAAAGAUGAUGGAAUUAAGCGCCUUGCCUUUUUCGCUAUGCCACUAAGCAAUUUUCGGUCACUUCAUCAGCAGGAGGGGAUCUGAAGAAGAUAGAUGGGAUCGCUGGAAAAGCUGGGGGGGGGGGG
RNAcentral lists this long non-coding RNA (281 nucleotides) under Nicotiana tabacum (common tobacco). Its description in RNAcentral is "long non-coding RNA (NTAB_LNC017833)". The record is from RNAcentral. Lineage: Eukaryota; Viridiplantae; Streptophyta; Magnoliopsida; Solanales; Solanaceae.